This 350-nucleotide long non-coding RNA is filed under the name Ananas comosus (pineapple). Its description in RNAcentral is "long non-coding RNA (ACOM_LNC012550)". Lineage: Eukaryota; Viridiplantae; Streptophyta; Magnoliopsida; Poales; Bromeliaceae. The record is from RNAcentral.
AAUUUAAAAUUCUAAAUUUUAAAAUUUAAAUUUUAAGUGUAAACUUCAACUCUAUAAAAUUCAACAUCUAUUUUGAAUUUUAAAUUUUAAAUUCUAAAUUCUAUAAUUCUAAAACUUUAAAUCUUUAUCUUAAAUUUGAAAUUUAAAAUUUAAUAUUUAAUAUCUAAACUUAAUAUUUUAAUUGUUGAAAUUUAAGAUUUAAAAAUUAAAAUUUGAAAUUUAAAAAUUUAAACAUAAAAUAAUAAAAUCUAAAUAUAAAAUAUGAAUUUAUAAUCAAAAUAAAAAUUAGAAUUUGAGUCCAAAAUCAAAAUCAGAUUUAAAAAGCAAAUUUUAGUUAUUUCUAAUUUUGC